This 2288-nucleotide long non-coding RNA is filed under the name Ananas comosus (pineapple). RNAcentral describes it as "long non-coding RNA (ACOM_LNC027533)". The record is from RNAcentral. Lineage: Eukaryota; Viridiplantae; Streptophyta; Magnoliopsida; Poales; Bromeliaceae.
AUUCUUAUAUUAGAUAACAUUGUAAUUAAUAAUUAAUUCGUGUACAAGUAGUUUUCUUUUUUUCUUUUUUAAAAAAAGAUAGAAUACUAUCUGCUUUGUUUAUUUUAUUUAUAAAUAAAUUUAGUUGAAAAUGUGAAUCAAUUAGGAUAUAUUCGAACUUAGGAGCUGGAUACCAACCGUCGAGUCCUUUGCUAUUUGUACUAGGAACUUUCGGUAUAAAUAGUUUACUGUUGUUCAUAGAAUGCUUGUGUUAUAUAUAAUAAGUUCAUCAUUAUCUCUUGAACUCUUUUUCAUUUGUUCAAAAUCACGGGAUAAAGUAGAAUUAUUGCGUGUUUAUGGAGUAAUUCGUCUCGACCAAGUAGUUUAAGUGAUUUUUUUUUUUUUGAAAAAAGUUUAUAUCUUCGAACAAGGGAUGGAACAGUACAAAAUUUAUAGUAAAAAACUCAAAAGGAUUUUGUACCCUCAACAAACAGUCUUUUUGAGUUGAAAGAGCGUACACACUACAAAAGAGUUCCUCUAAUGCCUUUAAUUCCAACCUCAAAGCAAUUAAUUAAAAGCACUUUAAAAAAUUAAAAAAUUAAUAGAGAUUCCAAAGCCGCCCAAAAGAUAUUAUAGCCGCAGCCAAAACAUGAACUUUAUUAAAUGCAUGCCCACCAUGCCGCCCAAAACACAACACGUAAAAUUUAGUUUGGAAUUAAGAUCCACGUUAUUAGAAAAAAUAAAAUAAAAAUAAAAAUAUUUAAAAAUAUAUUUUUACGUUUUUCGAUGGAACUGAAAAAAAUAUAAUAUAAUCGACUUAUAAUAAUAUACGAAAAUAAAUAAAAUAUUUUUUUAUUGUAUUUUUUUUUCACACGUAACCCAAUCUUUCUGUAAUUCUAAGACUUAGUUUGAUAUUGAGUUCUAUCUAACGCUAUUAAAUAAAAUAGAGUUGAAGAAAAAGAUUAUAGGAAUAUGCUUAUGUAUUUUGCAGUGGGACAGCAGAAAAUAUAUCGUCAGCAGAAAAUAUAUCGUAACCGACUCAUCGUGCUGAACGCAAUAUUACGUACGAAAACAAAUAUAAUAUUUUACCAACAUAUUUUCUCAUCGCACGUAACGCAAUCUUCCCGCAAUCCCAAACCAACCCUAAAAAUAAAGUCUAAGUUUUGAAGCGGAGAAGCGCUUCUCGAACCCGCGCUUUUGCUGCUGCUGCUGCUGCUGUUGUUGGUGUUGGUGCAUCGCGAUUGCUUCCUCGACCCGAGCAUUUCCUGAAACCGUUCCAAAAACUACCAAACAAACACUCGCCGCGGAACGAGGCGCCAUUCCUCGCCCCGAUUAAUCGGUACCUCCCCAGUCUCCUCGUCCUCCACCCUCGCUUCGAGUUUCUCACUCUCACUCGCCGGGGAACGCUCGCGUGGACCAGGUCCACCACUUCAGCAUUGGACGGUUCAUGCAGUAGCUUUAUGUAAAAGUACAGAUAUUUCAGAUAAUAAUUAAUUAAUAAUAAUAACUAACAAAAGUUUACGGACUUGUUAGGACACAUGAAUAUUUUAUUAUGUUUAUUUUUUAAAUUUAUUUAAAAAAUUUAUACACAUCACGCGGUUGAUGGAAAGUGCGAUAAGAUAUUUAUAAUAAAAUAUAUACCGCAAAGUGCGAUAGAAUAUUUAUAAUAAAAUAUAUACCGCUAUCUAUCGAGUCAUCUUUUAGAAUAAAAUAGAUUAUUUCGUAAAGAAAAUAUACUGUACUACCAAAUUAUGUAUAAUAGUAAAUUUUAAAAUAGUAAAAAAGUCAAACUCCUUAAUUACAAUCAUAUUAAAAAUUUUUCAUGCCAUAUAUAUUUUUUAAAAAUUUAACCUAUUUUAACAUUCAAAAAAGUACAUAUUAUACUAAGGGUGCGUUUGGUUCGCAUAAUAAAAGAUUACUAGGAAUAAAAGAUAUCCGAGAAUCUUAUUUCUAUUAAUCCUAUUACUAAGAAUGUGGAAUUCCUGUGUUUGGUUCGCACGGUAAUAUUAAUUAGCCAUAUUAUUUAAUAUUACAAAAAAUAUACAAUUAAUUAAUUUAUUUAUUUAAUUAAUUUUAGAUAAUGUUAUCAAAAGUUUGNUCCCUCAAGGGAAUGAGAUUAGUAUUUUGGAGUGAAUCUUAUUCCCAAGUGAAUCCGAUAUUACCAACUAGAUUACUUAGUGCGUUUAGCCAAACACCGUCAUAUUUUUUUAUUCCCAUUGGAUUACUAGAAAUCUUUAAAAGAUAGCGCGAACCAAACGCACCCUAAAUUAUAAGGAUAUAUAUCAUUUAAAGUUGAAUAUUAUAUUAUG